AACCACGGCUGAGGAGCCAUCCCCGUCAGCUCUGGUCCUUCAGGCUCCACAGGAAGAUCUGGACAACACCCCGAGGUCACCAUGGAGAUCCCACAGUGACCUCUGACACCUCCUGUGGUGGCACCUGAGGUCACCAACCCCAACCCAACCGUGGCUGACAGGUGACCCAGCUCAGCUCAUUGUCCUCCAGGCUCCACAGGAAGAUCUGGACAACACCCCGAGGUCACCAUGGACAUCCCUGACACCGUGGGGACCUCGGACACCUCCCUGGUGGUACCAGGUGUACCCCAGGUGUACCCAGGUGUCCCCAGGUGCAUCCAGGUGUCCCCAGGUGUAUCUCAGGUGUCCCCAGGUGUCCCCAGGUGUGUCCAGGUGUCCCCAGGUGUGUCUCAGGUGUAUCUCAGGUGUGUCCAGCUGUCCCCAGGUGUAUCUCAGGUGUCCCCAGGUGUGUCCAGGUGUCCCCAGGUGUAUCUCAGGUGUACCCAGGUGUCCCCAGGUGUGUCCAGGUGUGUCCAGGUGUACCUUCUGGCCGAUGGCAGACACCAGGUAGCCGUGACAGUGACACAGGGCUGUCACCGGUCCCUUCUGCUCCUUCUCGUAGAGCACCUUGAACUUGUUCUUGGUGAGCGGCUGUCCCGGCUCCGGAACCACCUCGAUNUGUCAUUGUCACCAUGUCAUUGUCACUGGCAUUGUCACCGUGUCAUUGUCACCAGUAGUGUCACCGUGUCAUUGUCACAGUGUCACUGCCAUCACCAUUGCCGCCGUCGUCUUUGUGUCAUUGUCACCGUCACUGUCAGUAUCACUGUCACCAUCGCACCACUGUCACCGUGUCAUUGUCACCGUCAUGUCAUUGUCAUUGUCACCAUCACUGUCAGUAUCACUGUCACCAUCACACCACUGUCACCGUGUUGUUGUCAUCAUCAUGUCAUUGUCAUUGUCACCGUCACUGUCAUUGUCACCACCACCACCAUUGUCAUUGUCACUGUGUCACUGUCAUUGUCACAUCAUUGUCACAGUGAUGAUGACAACCGUGACAUGUCAUGACAAUGACAAUGACAGUCAUCC
This 1065-nucleotide long non-coding RNA is filed under the name Parus major (Great Tit). Its description in RNAcentral is "lncRNA (ENSPMJG00000002221.1)". Lineage: Eukaryota; Metazoa; Chordata; Aves; Passeriformes; Paridae. The record is from RNAcentral.